GAUGAACGCUGGCGGCGUGCCUAAUACAUGCAAGUCGAGCGAACAGAUGAGGAGCUUGCUCCUCUGACGUUAGCGGCGGACGGGUGAGUAACACGUGGAUAACCUACCUAUAAGACUGGGAUAACUUCGGGAAACCGGAGCUAAUACCGGAUAAUAUAUUGAACCGCAUGGUUCAAUAGUGAAAGACGGUUUUGCUGUCACUUAUAGAUGGAUCCGCGCCGCAUUAGCUAGUUGGUAAGGUAACGGCUUACCAAGGCAACGAUGCGUAGCCGACCUGAGAGGGUGAUCGGCCACACUGAAACUGAGACACGGUCCAGACUCCUACGGGAGGCAGCAGUAGGGAAUCUUCCGCAAUGGGCGAAAGCCUGACGGAGCAACGCCGCGUGAGUGAUGAAGGUCUUCGGAUCGUAAAACUCUGUUAUUAGGGAAGAACAAAUGUGUAAGUAACUAUGCACGUCUUGACGGUACCUAAUCAGAAAGCCACGGCUAACUACGU
This 496-nucleotide ribosomal RNA is filed under the name uncultured bacterium. RNAcentral describes it as "partial 16S ribosomal RNA". It matches the Rfam family "Bacterial small subunit ribosomal RNA", at positions 28 to 506 of the family's 1533-position model. The record is from RNAcentral.